UACGGGGGGGGCAAGCGUUGUUCGGAAUUACUGGGCGUAAAGGGCUCGUAGGCGGCCAACUAAGUCAGACGUGAAAUCCCCAGGCUCAACCUGGGAACUGCGUCUGAUACUGGAUGGCUUGAAUCCGGGAGAGGGAUGCAGAAUUCCAGGUGUAGCGGUGAAAUGCGUAGAUAUCUGGAGGAAUACCGGUGGCGAAGGCGGCAUCCUGGACCACGACUGACGCUGAGUGAGCGAAAGCCAGGGGAGCAAACGGG
This 254-nucleotide ribosomal RNA is filed under the name uncultured bacterium. RNAcentral's name for it is "partial 16S ribosomal RNA". It matches the Rfam family "Bacterial small subunit ribosomal RNA", at positions 524 to 776 of the family's 1533-position model. The record is from RNAcentral.